GUUGUUUAUGUAAGAAUUUCAAGGCCACAACUCCAUAUUUGAAGUAAAGUGCUCAUAAAAUUAAUUGCAAGGAAAUCCAUCACUAUGAUUCAACUUCUGAAGAGAGAUUUGCUAGGAAAAAUAAAAAGAUAUAUAAAUUUCAGUGAUGCUGAAGAAAAAAGCCUGGAGACAUUGAACUAAGAUCAAAUUUAAUGUAUUAAAUAUGGUAGAAAGAAGAGAGAAUGAAAAAUAAUGUUAACAAUCUAGGUGAGGAAUUGCUGAGGAGACAAAUUAAGUAAAUCCUGUGGAAGGAAAGAAGAAAGGAGGAAAGAGGAUUGGAUGGAAGAAUCUCCACUUCUCAUAGGUGUAGUCCUUCCUUAGCCUGCUUUUUAAUGAGUGCUGCUAAAGCCCUUAGCCUGCCUGUUUACCCUUGGAGUGGAGCAAUGAACUGAAGAUAUUUGAGUGAGUUCAAGAGAGACUCAGAAGAGAAGAAUUGGAGGCAGCAAACAUAGACAGCACUUUUAAUGCUUUUCUCAUAUGCUGUAAGACAUGAAAGCAAUCUAUUGGGAUGAAAGCUGAAAGGAGAAGCGGGACAAGAGAAGUGAAUCCGUGGAAGACCCCCAAAAGAGGCUGCAGAUUCUUAGUGGACAGCUCUCAUAUCCCCUCCAGGGAAAAUGAUGAAAAAUGUCUUCAGAAAAAUAGCUUUAUGAAGGCAAGAGGACUUUUUGCACCUGCAAGACAUGUCUGAAAGCUCCUCAGGUCAAAACACAAGUAGUCAAGAGAUUUGUCCAUCUAAUUCAUCAUACUACUCUGAUCCAAGUGAGACCCACACUGGGUCAGCUCCAUCAAGGAGAAGAACAUUCCACCCACGUUUGGAUUCUGGAAUAUCAUCCUUGCUUCCAUCAGAUUCUUGUAAGUACCUCACUUGGCACAAGGUAGACAUGACGUUCAAGGAAGUCAACUGCGUUGCCCAAGAGUAAGAGAAGGAAUCUCUGAAGAAGAGCAACUUUUCAGACAGGUAGAGUGUGCCUUGCUCCCAAGGAAAAGAGUUCUUGAAAAAAACAAAUGGGAAACAUGGCUACAAGAAAACUGGGAAGACUGCAAGAAUUUGAACAUUUCAUUUCAGGGUUUGGGGGAUCCUUACCAAGUUGAAAAUUUUAACAGAAUUCUUAGAAGACUAAUUCGAGUUGAAACCCUCUGGUUAGUGGAUAAUUCACUGGUGGACUUAAGUGCCAUAAGAUUGCCAAGGUAUCUGCUCUGUAGCAUGUCUAGUGAACAGGUUAAAGUUAAGUCUUUUCUAUUUGGAUACAUGUGAUCAUUGGCUGUACAUACUGCACCUGGCCCCCUGUGGUCAGGUCUUAAAGAUGACACUUUGCACUAAAGUGGCACAUACGGCAAGGCCAAAAGAGAAAUUUAUAUAUCAGAAUGUCAUACUUUAGAGGGAAACAUCUAUUUUUAAAAUUAAUAUUUUAUUACCAAUUUUUAGGAAAGUUAUUUGUAUGAGCAGAAAAGUUUGCCAUUUUCCUUGUGUUAUAAACUAGAAAAUGCAAUUACCUGACAUAUACAUUAUGGUUUAAGAAAUUAAUUUUUAGUUAGUCAUAUUUACUGAACACCUAUGGGGAAAGACUUUACAAGGUAGUUGACAGUAGUAACCUUUAGGGUAACAUUCUGUUAUUGGAGUGGAGGCUGGUUAUCAGAUUAAAGACAGAAAUAAACUAAAAAUAAAAUAUA
Molecule: long non-coding RNA, 1710 nt
Organism: Homo sapiens (human)
Lineage: Eukaryota; Metazoa; Chordata; Mammalia; Primates; Hominidae
Gene: LRRC77P
Product: leucine rich repeat containing 77, pseudogene
Source: Ensembl